This 450-nucleotide ribosomal RNA is filed under the name uncultured bacterium. RNAcentral describes it as "partial 16S ribosomal RNA". It matches the Rfam family "Bacterial small subunit ribosomal RNA", at positions 29 to 523 of the family's 1533-position model. The record is from RNAcentral.
AACGAACGCUGGCGGCAGGCUUAACACAUGCAAGUCGAACGCAUCCUUCGGGGUGAGUGGCAGACGGGUGAGUAACGCGUGGGAACGUGCCCUUCAGUUCGGGAUAACCCAGGGAAACUUGGGCUAAUACCGGAUACGUGCGAGAGCAGAAAGAUUUAUCGCUGAAGGAGUCGGCCCGCGUCUGAUUAGCUAGUUGGUGGGGUAAUGGCCCACCAAGGCGACGAUCAGUCGCUGGUCUGAGGGAAUGAUCAGCCACAUUGGGACUGAGACACGGCCCAAACUCUUACGAGAGCCAGCAGUGGGGAAUAUUGGACAAUGGGCGCAAGCCUGAUCCAGCCAUGCCGCGUGAGUGAUGAAGGCCUUAGGUUUGUAAAGCUCUUUCGUCCGGGACGAUAAUGACGGUACCGGAAGAAGAAGCCCCGGCUAACUUCGUGCCAGCCGCCGCAGUAA